GUCUAUGGCCAUGCUACCCUGAACAUGCCUGAUCCUGUCUGAUCUUGGAAACUAAGCAGGGUCAGGCCUGGUUAAUACUUAGAUGGGAGACUACCUAGGAAGACCAGGUGCUGUAGGCG
Molecule: non-coding RNA, 119 nt
Organism: Pteropus alecto (black flying fox)
Lineage: Eukaryota; Metazoa; Chordata; Mammalia; Chiroptera; Pteropodidae
Source: Rfam